GCUGACUAACUGUAGUUAAUGGUUCACUAAUAAAUAAUGAAGGCUUUUUAGCUUCAAGGCGAGACAUUUUCACAAUUAGAUUUUAAUUCUGAGUAACAAAAGAUUUCAUUCUUACUUGGAUCUAGAAUUCACAGCUCUUUCAAGUAGUACAUUUUUAUUCUUUGCUGACAAAGAUUACUACUUUAAAUGUAAAACAGUAUGCUAAGUACAUUUGAUUCUGCACACCAGCCAUCUCAAAAUGAGGCUUAAAUGCCGCUGUGAAAUUGAUAAUGACAGCUGUAAGCCAUUUCAUUCACGAUGGUUAUCUCUUUUAGUUUCUGAAUGUGAUCGAGCAGAUUUUUUUGCAACAAAGUUUACAAGCAUGGUUCCAAAAUGGACACCUAUAAGUGACAGUCCUGCCACAAGCAGAAAGUUCUUUUUACUCCAGCUAGCUUUCCUCAUCUUCUCUUCUGGCAGUACUCACAGGUGGUGUUUCAGAGCUAAUUAUACCUAAAACACACAGCCCCAAUGUUAUUUUUCCUUAUUUUUGUGAUCGCUUUGCAUCACGUAUGUCACAAUCCCAGGUUCUGGAACAAUCUCCUCUGUCUUCACUUGGAAAAGAGGACUGGACUUGAUGUGGAACCACGACCAGUGCACCAGGCCAAGGCUAAUUCCCAUAACAAUCAGUACUUUGUAGUCCUUCCAUAAGGUUUUGAGGCUCAUCAUAAACUGGCAUUUAUGUACCUCAGCUCGUCCCUCGCCGGAAACCGGGCCAGGACAAGAGCCGGGGGCUGCGCAAGGCCACCUGCGCGUUUAAAC
This 798-nucleotide long non-coding RNA is filed under the name Gallus gallus (chicken). Lineage: Eukaryota; Metazoa; Chordata; Aves; Galliformes; Phasianidae. The record is from RNAcentral.